RNAcentral lists this RNase P RNA (344 nucleotides) under Enterobacteriaceae endosymbiont of Donacia bicoloricornis. RNAcentral's name for it is "RNase P RNA component class A". It matches the Rfam family "Bacterial RNase P class A". Rfam says of the family: Ribonuclease P (RNase P) is a ubiquitous endoribonuclease, found in archaea, bacteria and eukarya as well as chloroplasts and mitochondria. Its best characterised activity is the generation of mature 5'-ends of tRNAs by cleaving the 5'-leader elements of precursor-tRNAs. Lineage: Bacteria; Pseudomonadati; Pseudomonadota; Gammaproteobacteria; Enterobacterales; Enterobacteriaceae. The record is from RNAcentral.
AAAGUUAAUUAAAACAGUCGCUUUUAUUAAUUAAUAAAAGAGGAAAGUCCGGACUCCAUAGGGUAUGGUGCCAGAUAAUUACUGGGAAGUUUAAACUUACGAAUAGUGCAACAGAAAAAAUACCGCCUUUUAAAAAAAAGGGUAAGGGUGAAAAGGUGUGGUAAAAGCAUACCGGUAUAUUAGUAAUAAUAUAUGUCAAUGUAAACUCCACCAGGAGCAAGGCUAAAUAAGAUUCGUAUAACCCGUACUAUGAAUCUGGGUAAGCUGCUUGAAAUAAUAAGUGAUUAUUAUUCUAGAUAAAUGACUGUUUUAAACAGAAUCCGGCUUAAAAAUUAACUUUAUAU